GAGCUGAUGACGUCACAUUUCCACAAAACUACAAGAGCACAGUGGAAAGAGUCCAGUACACACCGCAGGAUCCAGAGAGGGUUUCAGGAGCUCUGAUCAAUGUGGUAAAACACCUGGGCAACCUGAAGUUCAGAGUCUGGGAGAAUAUGCAGGAGACUAUUCAAUACAGUAAGUGUAUAUAUCCCUUUCAAACACAAAAUAACACACACAAACACAGAGUGAGAGAGAAGGAGAGAGAGAGAGAGCACAUUUCAUACACAGAGGCAAUUCAAUGUGCUUUACAUAAAUAAGAGCAAAAAUAACCUCCAAAAGAAAUCUGAAGACAAGUGAA
Molecule: long non-coding RNA, 331 nt
Organism: Clupea harengus (Atlantic herring)
Lineage: Eukaryota; Metazoa; Chordata; Actinopteri; Clupeiformes; Clupeidae
Source: Ensembl